RNAcentral lists this ribosomal RNA (458 nucleotides) under uncultured bacterium. RNAcentral describes it as "bacterial SSU rRNA". It matches the Rfam family "Bacterial small subunit ribosomal RNA", at positions 28 to 507 of the family's 1533-position model. The record is from RNAcentral.
GACGAACGCUGGCGGCGUGCCUAACACAUGCAAGUCGAACGAAGCAUAGCAAUAUGCUUAGUGGCGGACGGGUGAGUAACGCGUGAACAAUCUGCCCUGUACAAAGGAAUAGCCUCGGGAAACCGGGAUUAAAACCGUAUGACACUUUAGUAUCGCAUGAUAAGAAAGUCAAAUCGAAUAGAGGUAUGGGAUGAGUUCGCGUCUGAUUAGCUGGUUGGCGGGGUAACGGCCCACCAAGGCGACGAUCAGUAGCCGGCCUGAGAGGGUGAACGGCCACACUGGAACUGAGACACGGUCCAGACUCCUACGGGAGGCAGCAGUGGGGAAUAUUGCACAAUGGAGGGAACUCUGAUGCAGCGACGCCGCGUGAGGGACGAAGGCCCUUGGGUCGUAAACCUCUUUUGCAGGGGAAGAAGAAGAUGACGGUACCUUGCGAACAAGUCCCGGCUAACUACGUG